This 2159-nucleotide long non-coding RNA is filed under the name Homo sapiens (human). RNAcentral's name for it is "long non-coding RNA NONHSAT216185.1". The record is from RNAcentral. Lineage: Eukaryota; Metazoa; Chordata; Mammalia; Primates; Hominidae.
CGCGCCCAGGCACUGCGGAGGGCCAGCCCCACGUGGGGGGUGGGGAGGGAUGCCCGCUCCGCCCCGUCCCCUCCGCGCCGGGCCUCGUCUCAGCCCGCCACGGAGUGGGCGGGACGCCAGGCAGGCGGGGGACGCGGCGGCUGCCAGCCAAGGGGCCGGAGCCAAGAGAUUUGCAUUGGAAGCGCCAUCCUCUUGCGCGUCUGAUGAGGAAGCAGAACCCGGUGACCGACUGAGCUGCAUUUCUGAAGCAUUUGCUGGGUUUUGCCUCACUAAGCCUCGGGGAGCACUGGGGCGCGGGAUGGGGGACCCUGUCACGGAGCCGACACCUGCUCGCGCGCCUCUCCCCCGCUCACGCCGUGCCGCGGGCUCGCCCUCCCCAUCUGCAGCGCCCGCAGCGCCUGCCCGCCCCGCCCAUCCUUCCUCCUGGGCAACCCAGAGGAUGGCGUGAGGACUCCUGGAAGCCCAGAGGACCGGACCAGGGGCGUGGUGGGGAGCCGUAGACCCGAGUUUUUAUCCUUCUCUGGCGCCGACACUCGGCUGCGGAAUCGAGUUUGAGCUCGGUGUAGCUGAAGUUUAAAUUGUAGCUGUUUCAAAGGUAGACCCCACCUCACCCCCACCCCUGGACCAAGACCUCUGGAAGCGUCCUGCCUGGAAGCCGCUUGUGGGGAGGGCUCUCCUAGGGUCUCCAGGCUCCCGCUGGAGCACGCCUGGAGAUGCCUUGGGAGUCUGAGGAACCCCAGAUUCAGCACCCCUGCUUAACCUGCUUUUAAGAAGAAAAAAAUGGAACUUGAUAAACUUCACUCAAAGGAGAGACCCACUAAUAACUCCACACACCUCACACCGAGUGAAGACGCUGAGACAAUGUAUGUGUGCUCCAGGAAUGACUGGAUGAAACAAAAAGAGAGUCUGGAUGCCAUUAAAAUGUUUGACUAUUGGAUUCCCACGGUUUGGGAUGGGAAGCAGAACUCGGUGAAACUGUAGGUUCUGUGUCCGGGCCAAGCGUUGCUGAAAGGUGGAAGAAUUCAUGGAAAGAAGGUUAUACCAGAAACCAAGAUCUGCUUUUUAAAAGGGAACAUGUACGCUCAUGUUUUGGCUUGAAUUCACUGCCUUUCACCUAUGUGUGGUCCCUCCUGUGCCGAGUCAGCAUGGAGUUCAGGACUCCUAGAGUGGAGCUAGCUCCCGUCCUUCCAAAUGCAGCAAUGACAUUAAGGACAUUCGUUCACAUGGUUCACAGUUGGUGUUGGGAAGUUGUCCUACCUGGACAUUGCUGUCAGAGCCAUGGACUAAAAUACUCAAUUCUGGCCUAAAUAAAGCAAGCUCUCGGUGUUAAAGACUUUUUUUUUUUUUUUUUUUUUUUUGAGAUGGAGUCUUGCUCUGUUGCCCGGGCUGGAAUGUAAUGGUGUGAUCUCAGCUUACUGCAACCUCCACCUCCCAGGUUCAAGCAAUUCUCCUGCCUCAGCCUCCUGAGUAGCUGGGAUUACAGGUGCACGCCACCAUACCUGCUAAUUUUUGUAUUAUUAGCAGAGGCGGGGUUUCACCAUGUUGGCCAGGCUGGUCUCCAACUCCUGGCUUCAAGUGAUCCACCCGCCUCAGCCUCCCAAAGUGCUGGGAUUACAGGCGUGAGCCACAGUGCCUGGCCUUUUUGAGGAUUAUUAUAAGUAAAAGAAAAUUCAGACCACGAACAUAGCAUUCCUUUAGGUGUUUUGCAUAGAUAUAGUUUUUUGCUUUACUGUGGGUCCACUGGGAAAAGGUUUGUGGAAAUCUGAGCAGCUGAUGUUUGUGUGCUCAGAUUCUUUGGGACCUAUCUAUAAGACUUGGCGAGGCAAUACGGCUUCCACCAUUUCCCCAGGGAAAAAGUUACUCAAGGUUACUGAACUCAUGAAACCAUGUGGAUUUCCAGCAUGUGUUAUUAUAAUCUCACUAACCUUCCGAUUUUAAAACGCUGUAACUCUGUAAUUUUUUUCUGUGGUCAGCCCUUCCCAAAGGUAUCCACCUUCCAGUUUGUCCUGUGGAGCACGCUCUUGGCAGAGUUUGGCAUUGUUUGUUAUCAGGGGGUUUGAUUUAUGUAAAAUUGCAUUAAAUCACUAAUAAGGAAGACUUUGUUUAAUUUGUAUUUUUGGAGGGAAAGAAAUAUUUUAUGGUAUAACCAUCAUAAAUCU